UGGUGGCUUCCGCUGUACUCUUGAUUUAGUUAGCAGUGAAAUGAAGGUCCAAAGGGUUUUCUUUGUACAGGCUCUGUCAUUCUUUGCAUGGAGCCAAACUUACGCUUCAGGUCCAGUUUAUCAGACUGUUUGCAGGCGAACGGGCGGUACAAUAACUUGUUAUCAAGACAACACUUGGAGCUACAACGAGCGUACUCGUAAAUGCUAUCGUGUUCACAAGAAUGAGGAGCCAUGUGGCUUUUUCGAUGGCGAAAAGGGAUGCAAGGACUUUUGCUUAAAGCACACUUGGUAAAUCAGAUGAGCAGUUUCUUUCCGAUAAAUUACAUUUUCAAUGGUUAUCACAUUAGGUCGUUUAAGAUUCUCAGGAACUCUCUCUCUCUCUCUGUUACUUCACAAGUUACCAUGUAUACCUUAAAUAUAUUGUAUGUACUGCUCUUCAAUACGAUGUUUAAGGAUGUCGUCUCAAUCAGAACCAGCGGCAUAAAGCAGAAAACCCCUGCGUCGAGGAAAAUACUUGGGUAUUCGACCAAAAUGCUCGCACUUGUAAUCCUGUGACUCCUGAAAAGGAACCCUGCGGGCACUUUAUUAGCGAAAAGGCUUGCAAAGAGGUCUGCCUA
Molecule: RNA transcript, 617 nt
Organism: Drosophila teissieri
Lineage: Eukaryota; Metazoa; Arthropoda; Insecta; Diptera; Drosophilidae
Exons: 4
Source: RefSeq, a predicted model, not a curated record